This is a non-coding RNA of Plectropomus leopardus (leopard coralgrouper), 113 nucleotides long. The record is from RefSeq and is a predicted model, not a curated record. Lineage: Eukaryota; Metazoa; Chordata; Actinopteri; Perciformes; Serranidae.
GCGGACGAGUGUUCCCGAUCUUUCUGGACUAUUCUGGCUGGUUUUGUGAGGGACGAGUUCUUCAGCUCAGCUGCGACCCGUACCACCGCCGCUACCGUGGGAAGGCUCUUGGU